Molecule: unclassified non-coding RNA, 425 nt
Filed under: soil metagenome
Description: partial contains 5.8S ribosomal RNA, internal transcribed spacer 2, and large subunit ribosomal RNA
Rfam family: 5.8S ribosomal RNA (bases 1-120)
Source: RNAcentral
GAUGAAGAACGUAGCGAAAUGCGAUAAGUAAUGUGAAUUGCAGAAUUCAGUGAAUCAUCGAAUCUUUGAACGCACCUUGCGCUCCUUGGUAUUCCAAGGAGCAUGCCUGUUUGAGUAUCAUUAAAUUAUCAACUGUGCCAAUUUGGUUACAGAUUGGUUGUGGGAGAUUCUUUUUGCAGGCCUUUGACUUCUCUUUGAGAAAAAAAAUAAAAGGUCGGCUCUCCUGAAAUGUAUUAGCAGUGCCUUUGUUGGUUCAUUAGGUGUGAUAAAUUGUCUACAUCUUCGCAUGAUACCUUCAUUUGUAAAGGUCAUAUUGCUUCUAAAUUGUCUUUGAUUGGACGCAAAACAUAUAUAAUGUUUGACAAACUUGAUCUCAAAUCAGGCAGGACUACCCGCUGAACUUAAGCAUAUCAAUAAGCGGAGGA